GAUGAAGAACGUAGCGAAAUGCGAUAAGUAAUGUGAAUUGCAGAAUUCAGUGAAUCAUCGAAUCUUUGAACGCACAUUGCGCCCGCCAGUAUUCUGGCGGGCAUGCCUGUUCGAGCGUCAUUUCAACCAUCAAGCCCCCGGCUUGUGUUGGGGACCUGCGGCUGCCGCAGGCCCUGAAAAGCAGUGGCGGGCUCGCUGUCACACCGAGCGUAGUAGCAUACAUCUCGCUCUGGGCGUGCUGCGGGUUCCGGCCGUUAAACCACCUUCAUAACCCAAGGUUGACCUCGGAUCAGGUAGGAAGACCCGCUGAACUUAAGCAUAUCAAUGCGGAGGA
This 334-nucleotide unclassified non-coding RNA is filed under the name soil metagenome. RNAcentral's name for it is "partial contains 5.8S ribosomal RNA, internal transcribed spacer 2, and large subunit ribosomal RNA". The stretch from base 1 to 120 matches the Rfam family "5.8S ribosomal RNA", at positions 35 to 154 of the family's 154-position model. The record is from RNAcentral.